Molecule: non-coding RNA, 306 nt
Organism: Vicia faba (fava bean)
Lineage: Eukaryota; Viridiplantae; Streptophyta; Magnoliopsida; Fabales; Fabaceae
Source: the annotation of a GenBank genome assembly
AUGGAAGAUUAUGAGAGAUUAGGAAACUUGGUGUUGAAGGUUAACAAAACAUUGGCAAUUGCAGGGCCUUUACUAACUGGAAUUGCAGCUGUGGGGUCCACUUUUGUUUGGCCAAGGUUCGUGGACAUCUAUAAGAAUAUAUUGGAGGAAGAUGAGAACAAAGAGAGAAUGGAGAGUUGUUUUGAAAUUAAGUUGGCUUUGAAAUUAGGAAGAAGUUUGUCACAGUUGAGAGAUCUUGGUUCAAAAUCAGCUUACUCUCGUGUAGAGGGAACUAAAGUUGAUGAAUUUGCUAGCAAGCUUUUCUAA